GACGAACGCUGGCGGCGUGCUUAACACAUGCAAGUCGAACGGAAAGGCCCUGCUUUUGUGGGGUGCUCGAGUGGCGAACGGGUGAGUAACACGUGAGUAACCUGCCCUUGACUUUGGGAUAACUUCAGGAAACUGGGGCUAAUACCGGAUAGGAGCUCCUGCUGCAUGGUGGGGGUUGGAAAGUUUCGGCGGUUGGGGAUGGACUCGCGGCUUAUCAGCUUGUUGGUGGGGUAGUGGCUUACCAAGGCUUUGACGGGUAGCCGGCCUGAGAGGGUGAUCGGCCACAUUGGGACUGAGAUACGGCCCAGACUCCUACGGGAGGCAGCAGUGGGGAAUAUUGCACAAUGGGCGGAAGCCUGUUGCAGCAACGCCGCGUGCGGGAUGACGGCCUUCGGGUUGUAAACCGCUUUCGCCUGUGACGAAGCGUGAGUGACGGUAAUGGGUAAAGAAGCACCGGCUAACUACGUG
This 468-nucleotide ribosomal RNA is filed under the name uncultured bacterium. RNAcentral's name for it is "partial 16S ribosomal RNA". It matches the Rfam family "Bacterial small subunit ribosomal RNA", at positions 28 to 507 of the family's 1533-position model. The record is from RNAcentral.